RNAcentral lists this ribosomal RNA (318 nucleotides) under Triticum aestivum (bread wheat). RNAcentral's name for it is "partial small subunit ribosomal RNA". The record is from RNAcentral. Lineage: Eukaryota; Viridiplantae; Streptophyta; Magnoliopsida; Poales; Poaceae.
AUGAGUCGACAGGGGGACAAAAAGUGGACGCGCGUCUGUUUGAAUCGGCGCGUUGGGCCGACUUUUCUGUCCGCGCCGACACAAAAGGACGGAGUGGACGAAAUGGAUCGACGUGUUGGAGUUGCUGUAAAGAGGCAAAUAAAAGGAUGGGGUUCAUCUAAAAAAGGAUGGGGCGCAACAACAUUCUUGAAGUUGAGCAUGUCCCUGAUAUUUUUUGUAUUAGAAGUGUCAGCCAAGGCCUCAGCCUUGUGUGAAGGUCUGAAGCUGCCAAGCUGGCUAACCGGAUGGGGUGAAACAACAUUUUGUACACAUGGAUAA